RNAcentral lists this ribosomal RNA (448 nucleotides) under uncultured bacterium. Its description in RNAcentral is "bacterial SSU rRNA". It matches the Rfam family "Bacterial small subunit ribosomal RNA", at positions 330 to 792 of the family's 1533-position model. The record is from RNAcentral.
UCCAGACUCCUACGGGAGGCAGCAGUGGGGAAUAUUGGGCAAUGGGCGCAAGCCUGACCCAGCAACGCCGCGUGAAGGAAGAAGGCUUUCGGGUUGUAAACUUCUUUUCUCGGGGACGAAGAAAGUGACGGUACCUGAGGAAUAAGCCACGGCUAACUACGUGCCAGCAGCCGCGGUAAUACGUAGGUGGCAAGCGUUAUCCGGAUUUAUUGGGUGUAAAGGGCGUGUAGGCGGGAGCGCAAGUCAGAUGUGAAAACUCAGGGCUCAACCCUGAGCCUGCAUUUGAAACUGUGUUUCUUGAGUGCUGGAGAGGCAAUCGGAAUUCCGUGUGUAGCGGUGAAAUGCGUAGAUAUUAGGAGGAACACCAGUGGCGAAGGCGGCCUGCUGGACGAUGACUGACGUUGAGGCUCGAAAGCGUGGGGAGCAAACAGGAUUAGAUACCCGGGUA